Non-coding RNA from Podarcis lilfordi (Lilford's wall lizard), 75 nucleotides. Lineage: Eukaryota; Metazoa; Chordata; Lepidosauria; Squamata; Lacertidae. The record is from the annotation of a GenBank genome assembly.
GGUAGAGUGGUUUAGUUUGUAAGAGCAUGAGAUUCUUAAUCUCAGGGUGUGGGUUCGAGCCCCACAUCAUCAUCA